CUCGCUCUAGUCGCGCUAUAACACCAUGAACUAGUACCAACUAACGUUCAUCGUACUCCCAGGUGUUCAGCGCGAAGAGCGACUGCCUGACAUCGAUUCAAAGCUUGGCCAAGAAGAAUUAAGGUAAAGAAAUUGAUAUCGGUACACAAACGUUUCCCCGCGAUACAAAAAAGAGACAGGCCUUUCUGGCGUCUUCUACUCCCACACGGUGCCCGAACACACACGCAACACAACGGACAGUAGAAGACACCACAAACACAACUUAUCUACACAGUCAACACACGCAAACUGAAAGCAAUGACCACAAGGAGCAUCAUGGGGGGCACGGAGGUGAUGGGGGGCAUCGUUAACAUCGAUAUGUUUUGAUUUCGAGGCCACUCGAUUGAGCCAGGCCGAACAAGCGUACUUUGUGAAAUAGGUGUUUCAAGUAAGUAAUCUACAACAAAGGAGCACUAAUGACAACAAAACUAAAUGAAUCUUUUAGCAGUUAAACGCUACAGCUUCAUCUAUGGACGCUUUUUCGGAUUAAUGCGUGAAUGCGGAAAGUGAAACAACCACAAGCGCGUGAAAACUUGUGAAGGGCGUAAAGGCCGUUUGCGCGCGCUCUGAUGGCACGGUUGGAAACGUGCGAUUUAUCGUGUGUUCGUGAAGUGCGCGGCGCCGAACGCUAGUGCCGGAUUUCACUGGAGGAAAAGAGACAACGAGGAACUGUAUCCGAGAGAACAAACGUGUAUCUUUUCUGAACCUCUGUGAAGUCGUCCCGCUGUGCCUACAUCGAGAUACCUGCACGGCCUGUUACGAUGGUGACAUCUCAGAGGAUCCGAAAGAAACCACUUUGUUUGCACAUGCAUUCCACAGCAUCAAGAUGAUGUUUUUAGUGCCGUGGUGGAGUGCUUCGCAGUGUGUACCUCUCUUCAGUGAAUAUGUGGCCCAAAAAAUCUUUCCUUGCCUACUAUAGCUAAGGCCAGCAUUGAUGCAAUGUGCUUACAUAGAUGCCUGUGACUGCAUUGCGCAACAUCAUGCCACGAUUGGUGCCUCCUGGCACACAAGGAAGUGGUGUAGGCACCCAGUUGAACACCCAAGCUUACAUGGGGGAUUCCAAAGAGCAGCAUGGUUCCUACAACUCACCACAGCAUGGCAGCGAUAGCCCACGUGUGGCCAGCAACCAGUCACGCAAGAGAGGAAACUUCAAGUGCCGCUACUGUGGCCGUACUUUCGUCUACAUGACACCAUUCAUCGCCCACGAAUAUGCGCACGCAAACGAGAAGCGCUUUCUGUGCAGCUUCUGCCCCCAGGGCUUCGUCACUCGCCAGCUGCUGACAGUUCAUCUGCGCGUCCACAAGGAUGAGAUACUUGCCAACGACGAUCCUGUGCCAUAGGAGUGCAUUGGAACGGUGAUUCCGUGGCUUCAGACUAGGUAAAUUCGCUGAAGCAGCCUUCAUGGACAGGAAAGCCCUUCUACUACCUGGACCAACCUUUGAUUGUUCUAUUUUCUCUAGUGAUUCAAGACCAACUAAAGUUCAUUAUGCCAUGUUGUGUACUAACAACAGCCUGCUAAGUUGGUGUAACUGGCUGUGCACACCAUCUGAAUGUGGAGUUGUGCUGCGAUGUCGUGACUGCGAUUGUCACCUUGCGGAUUUGUGCGGUGGAUCUUCAUUGAUUCACGUACAUCGGUCCACAUGUGCCAUCUGCUAUCUUUUGCAUGCGAUGUUUUCUUUUGCCUAAUAUGCAGAAACUACUUAUGUACUCUUGGAGUGGUUUGUGGUGCAAGGUUUGUCUACGAAACCUCCUGAGCUCAACAAUUUUCUUUAAGCCGGAAGGGAAGCAAACAAGCGGACUUGCUUUUUCCAGGGCUAAUGAUUCAUUAUUUUGAAAGCUGUCAGUCACUGUGCUACCUGAGUUGCAGCAGACAGCAACUACAGUGGCACUAUGUGGCAGAAGUGAGCUGUCUGAUCUCUGAAAAACUUUGUAACAGCAUGAUGUGGUGCAACCCACAUCUGCCUUCAAGUUCUUUGGCAUGAGGCUUUUGGCAGGCUGUGCAGCUUCCUCAAUCUGUUAAAUAUUUUGUUUUGCGUGUGUAUGUGUUAUGAAGUCAUGCAUGGUGCAGCUGGCAUUUGCUCUAUUAGCAUCGGACUGGUGAUGAUUUUGCCGUCACCAAUACUAGUGCAGAAGUGCUUGUCUGGCUAAAGCAAUGCAGUGGCAAGCAAUUUGUAACAUAGAUUUUGGUAAAGACAUGCUUUUUGUUGUUACGUUAUUGUGCACCGCGUGAAAGAAGAAGACUUGGGAGACGAGCAACUACGCGAACACAAGCUCAAACUUUAGACUAAAUUUGUUGGACAGACACAAUGCUUUUAUGCAGUUGCUUUUCUUGGUUACAACAAAACAUUUACAAAUGGUUAUUUACGAGAAAUAUAAGCAUUACAAUACCAAUAACCACUCAUGCCGAGGAAACAUGCAACUACUGCACAUCCUGCAUUAUGAGUUCAGAUACAUUAGUAUGUUCGUCUGCAUUAGUCCCAAUGAAGCCAGACUGAUGCAGUCAUUCCCCAGGCAAAUAAUCUUGGAUGCCUCAAUGAUUUUGCUCGUCAUCUGAUUACAGUGCUUAGCGACCAUUUCAGUUUUACACAACUUUGGCUGGCAUCUAUGCCAGUUCUAUGCUUUGACUGCUUCUCUUGUUUUUUGUUGACUAGUUUUCAUUUGUAAUGUGAUGGCCUGCUGUUUUGAUAUUUUGUAUGGAUAGUCUGUUUAUUCAUGUAAUGCAUCAGCAUGAAACUCUAUAAGCCAACUCAGAAAACAUUGUGGCCACUAGGCGUUAAUGAGUAGCCAAAUGGAUGUGGCCCUCUAGAAACUGUGUGAUACCGUUCUACCGAGCAUCUUAUGCCUUGUUGCAUGUUUACGAUUCCGAAUUCUGUGUGGGUGAUCUGUGAGCAAAGUGCCUUGUCAAAAGUUAUGCUGCUCACUCUCCCUGGCUUUACUGGAAGUAUCUAUCUUCCACAAAUAAAUUGAAGGCAGCACCUUCUUUUUGAAUGUGUCCAAUAGGAUUGCAUAGGUUGACCAGCUUUGUGCAUGAACACAAGUCAGAACUGGGUUGUGGUGUUUCCCUCAUAUAACGGACGAGAGCUCGUGCACCCUAGUUUUUCAGUUGUAUGUGUGCAGCUUGGGAGUUGUCUGUGAGGAAUGGAGCACCAAUGAUGUGUUGCCUGUAAACUCUGGCUUGAAGAGAAGCAGCCACAAAGUUGUUAACAUGCGAGGGACCCAUGCAGCUGGCGGCACCAUGUUAGUUCAUUCAUUUUUUUUUUUCUGAGCUGCAAACAGUUAUAGAGAGGUCACUCUUUAGGCCUAACUCCACGAAUUCGUUAAAGCGCAUCAGCGAGUACGUUUUUGACUUGGCAUCGUGCCCUCCUCCUUAAAGAGAAAGGUCAUGUGGCUACCCGAAGCUGCGCGCUCUGUCUCUCGAUAUGAGAGAGGGCUUGGCGCCGACGCACUGCAACAACUACGUUGGGUCAGGCCUUUAGUGAUACAGCGGUCUUUGAAAGCACCAAUUUGCUCUUCCAUUCUGUUAAGCAAAAGCUGAUGAAGUAGAUCGCACUCUUUAGAAGCAGCAUUGCCAUCCUGCAGCAUAAACAAGUCAGUAAUACCUUGGAGUUGAGUGAGUGCUCACUUUGGAUGGCCAUUGUAAGUGUUAAAAAAGUCCAUUUCAUGGUGUUUGUGGAUCAGCCCUGUUAUAGAUGGCUGUCUUAGUUUGGCCAUUUGUUUGAUAAAGUUGUUUGGUAGAGGCCUGUGAUUUGUCAAACGAAGGAUUGCUUUUACAAAUACAUCCAACAUACUUCUAAAGAAAAACACUAUAAAAAAAAAAACGAUUUCCUGGCUUACCCUGGUUCAAUAAAUUAUGGUGUUUCUUGCAUGGGAAACUGCAAAAUGGCCGCCUGUAUAUUUCUGAACAAAUCAGUUUUCAGAGAUGUAAAGUGCUAUUGUAGCAGCAAUGAAUCAAGUCUUGUAACUGGCAGCCCAGGUAGAUUAAGGAUGUCGUACACUGGCGAAAUCAAGUUAAGUGUAUCUGUUCAGACUUGCCGAGUUCUCACAAUUGUAGUUUGUAGACGGCUGCGUUUGACCAGGAACAAGUUAUAGAUCUGUGACAGCUACAAAUUUUACUAGCCCAACUACUUACUGUUCAACUUAGUUACAUAUUAUAUUGAAGGGUGAUACACUGCUUGAUUGCAUCAAUCAUAAAUGACAGGCUUGUGUAUGAACAAGUAUUGAAUUGCCCAUGUAUAGUUCGUGCUAAAAUAGAGCAAGUGUUGCCAUUUGCCUAGCAUUGCAACAUUAUGUGAAUUAUUGAUCACACCUUCUUUUUCGUUCUUUCUGUUUUUGCCAUAAGCAUCAAAGUUGUUUUCAUACAGAAGCGCACGUAUGUUUUUCAGUAUGUGGUCUUGGUCACAAUGCUGUAAUUUGCAUCGAGAGAUGACUGGAUGUUACAUUCUUUUAUUAUUACUUCUGCAUUUGUUUUUUCUACAUAUACUUUUGCAGAGUGCCCACUUCCUCAUGUCGAACUGUUUGCCACAAUUUUGCUCGGAAACCACAGUGCAGCAACACUAGGCAUGAGGGGGGUCAGCCAUAGCCCGCAUUUGGGGCUGUGCUCGUGACUAUGCCCUAGGUCACUUUUAUUGCAGAAAUAAUUUACAUUUCUGCUCACUCGCAUGAUUUGCGUUCUGACACCUGUCAAGGGGCAGCUUAUUUGUUCGUAUCAAUGAGUGAUUAUUGCUGUAUUUGGCAUAUUUACCAGUUUUUGUGUGAGGGACUCACACAUAUACAAUCUGUGCUAAGUUGUAGCUUUCAGGAUAAUGUAACAGGACUGAGCACACUGGUUUUUUUGGAACCAAUUCUGUUCCUUUAUUUCUUGUCAUUCCUAUUAAAAAUUUCUGCACAAAGUUUGAAUUGAAUGGAAAAUGGAGACUCGAAGAGAUGAAAAAUUCUUGAACCAGUGGUGUCACUGUUGCUGUAGGUGAGUUUUCCAUAUGGACAAAGUUUAACAUACAUAUAUUUGGUGUAGUUGACUAGAAUGCUUUUGUGCCAUGCUCUCUCUUUGUACGUUACACAGGCUAAGUGCAACACGUUAGUUAGUUACAAUGUUGCCUCCUCUUUUGCGUUCUUGCACUUCAAUGCUUUUAGUGUUUUGUUUUGUGUAAUGCAUAUGUGGGCUUGGGUAUUUCAUAAAGUUGUAAUUGUCAGUGUUUAGAUCCCCUUUGAAAGCAAAGUAUAUAGGCAAGGGCCAUAAUUAAGGUGUCAUUGCACUGUGCCCAAAUGUUUCAAUAAAAUGCUUGGUUAUCCUCUCUGUUGACAA
Molecule: unclassified non-coding RNA, 5341 nt
Filed under: Rhipicephalus microplus (southern cattle tick)
Lineage: Eukaryota; Metazoa; Arthropoda; Arachnida; Ixodida; Ixodidae
Description: zinc finger protein 519-like, transcript variant X1
Source: RNAcentral